RNAcentral lists this ribosomal RNA (398 nucleotides) under uncultured bacterium. RNAcentral describes it as "bacterial SSU rRNA". It matches the Rfam family "Bacterial small subunit ribosomal RNA", at positions 29 to 409 of the family's 1533-position model. The record is from RNAcentral.
AACGAACGCUGGCGGCGUGCCCAAGACAUGCAAGUCGUGCGAGAAAGCUCCUUCGGGAGUGAGUACAGCGGCAUACGGGUGAGUAACGCGUGGGUAACCUACCUCGAGGUCUGGGAUAACCCGGGGAAACCUGAGCUAAUACCGGAUGAGCCCACGAGGUCUUCGGACCAUGUGGGAAAACGGUGGCCUCUGCUUGCAAGCUACCGCCCCGAGAUGGGCCCGCGUCCCAUUAGCUAGNGGUGAGGUAACGGCUCACCAAGGCUCCGAUGGGUAGCUGGUCUGAGAAGACGAUCAGCCACACUGGGACUGAGACACGGCCCAGACUCCGUACGGGAGGCAGCAGUCGGGAAUAUUGGGCAAUGGGCGAAAGCCUGACCCAGCGACGCCGCGUGAGGGAC